RNAcentral lists this ribosomal RNA (388 nucleotides) under uncultured bacterium. RNAcentral describes it as "partial 16S ribosomal RNA". It matches the Rfam family "Bacterial small subunit ribosomal RNA", at positions 523 to 918 of the family's 1533-position model. The record is from RNAcentral.
AUACAUAGGGGGCGAGCGUUAUCCGGAUUUAUUGGGCGUAAAGGGUGCGUAGGCGGUAAAUUAAGUCUAAGGUUAAAGUGCAGGGCUCAACCCUGUGAUGCCUUAGAAACUGGUUUACUUGAGUUUGGUAGAGGUAAGUGGAACUCCAUGUGUAGCGGUAAAAUGCGUAAAUAUAUGGAAGAACACCAGUGGCGAAGGCGGCUUACUGGGCCACAACUGACGCUGAGGCACGAAAGCGUGGGGAGCAAACAGGAUUAGAUACCCUGGUAGUCCACGCUGUAAACGAUGAAUACUAAGUGUUGGAAAAAUCCAGUGCUGAAGUUAACGCAUUAAGUAUUCCGCCUGAGUAGUACGUACGCAAGUAUGAAACUCAAAUGAAUUGACGGGG